Long non-coding RNA from Lemur catta (Ring-tailed lemur), 1137 nucleotides. RefSeq lists it as uncharacterized. The record is from RefSeq and is a predicted model, not a curated record. NCBI's taxonomy places the organism in Eukaryota, Metazoa, Chordata, Mammalia, Primates, Lemuridae. The transcript has 5 exons.
CAGCGGGGAGGAAGCGGGCAGUGAAUGCCAGGGCGGGCGGGAGCGGGCGCGGACAGACCCGAGCCGGCGACCCAGGGCGGCGGGUCCGGUGGGAGAAAGGAGGAGGAGGAGGGGGCCUGGAGUUACUAUGGCUCCCGGGACUCCUCGAAUGGCCGAAAUAAGAGUUUCUAAAAAUAGGCAGUGGCCCGCCUGAAGAAGUAGGCGAAUGAAGAGGCACAAGAACCUGCCUAAGAGACAGGAUUCCUGAGAACGGAGCAGAGUUUGAAUUCAGAGUCCUGGCUAAUAACUGCCCUUCUGUUGUUUGACCUCCAUGUCCUCUUGAAAAGGAAGAGAAAUCAAAUUAGAGAAUUGGUGACCCGGAGAGCAAGGCCUGGGAUGUUCCGCCCCUAUCUCUCUGCUUAAAUAUCGCCUUCUCGGAGAGGUCUUUCCUUAGUACCUCGUCUAAAGGAGCACACUUGGCCCACUCACUGGACAAGACAGAAGUACUGGACAUGUAACUCGCAAAGAAAUCUCAUUCAGCCAAUGACAGAUGGGGAAUUGGUGGCGACCUAGCAUCCUCUCCCAUCCAUCAGAGCACAGGAGAAAUGAUUCAUUUUUAAUGAAGACUCAAAGAACUUCACCAUGGAGGUGACAUUUGAGCUGAAACUCGAGGGAGGAGAAAGUUUUGCAGGACCUUAUUUAUGGACUAAGGACAGUAGCAAAGAUGUGCUGUGACCAAGCCCUGACAGUGGGGAUGAAGAUAUCACCACAAAGGAUACAGGGAAACAAGAUGAAAGGAUCUUUGAUACCUGAGUGACCAUGUGGAGCAGAGCCUGCACCACUUACCUUGAGACAUUCCAUGAGAGUGAAUCAACUUCUAUUUUCCUCAAGCCUCUGUGUCUGUGUCCUCUUUCUUACAGCGGCUUGGGCUUACUCUAAGUAAUAUAUUCCCAAUCCCCUCUCCUCCAAUGACUGGAAAAAUCCUCCCAGUUAGGAAGACAGUGAAGUUUUGGAAAGAAAGAAGAGAGAGAGAAGGGUAGAAGCUAUAUAAUUCCCUACACACACCCCUUGCCCUUUCUCCUAAAACAAGUCACAGAUUUGAUGACAGGGAGAGACACAGUAAAACCCCUUUUGAAGUUUGAGGGAUUAAAGAAUAAA